UACAGAGGGUGCAAGCGUUGUUCGGAAUUAUUGGGCGUAAAGGGAGUGUAGGCGGUGAGUUAAGUCUUCUGUGAAAUCUACGGGCUUAGCCUGUAACGUGCAGAGGAAACUGGCUGACUUGAGUAUCGGAGAGGGCAGGGGAAUACCCAGUGUAGAGGUGAAAUUCGUAGAUAUUCGGAAGAACACCAGUGGCGAAGGCGGCUCACUGGCCCGGUACUGACGCUGAGGUGCGAAAGCGUGGGGAGCAAACAGG
RNAcentral lists this ribosomal RNA (253 nucleotides) under uncultured bacterium. RNAcentral describes it as "partial 16S ribosomal RNA". It matches the Rfam family "Bacterial small subunit ribosomal RNA", at positions 524 to 776 of the family's 1533-position model. The record is from RNAcentral.